Molecule: long non-coding RNA, 277 nt
Filed under: Vigna radiata
Lineage: Eukaryota; Viridiplantae; Streptophyta; Magnoliopsida; Fabales; Fabaceae
Description: long non-coding RNA (VRAD_LNC006627)
Source: RNAcentral
GAUGGGGACCAAUGUUUAUAACAUUGUAAACGUCAGUUCCUCACUAACCGGAUGUCUAUAGGCCUGACAGGUAGGUGAGAAGUUAGUCAUUUUCUGUCAUAUAGACGUUGGUUACGGGGGGACCCGACAUCUAUUUGGCUGCAAUUAAUGCUAUUCACCUACCUGGCAGGCACUUAGACGUCAUGUGGUACAGGACCGACGUCUAUAAUAUUAUAGUCGUCGGCGCCCCAGGUCACCAUUGUCUACUGACCUGCCCGGUUAUUAAAAAGUCACUUCG